RNAcentral lists this long non-coding RNA (1175 nucleotides) under Homo sapiens (human). Its description in RNAcentral is "HSALNT0171124". Lineage: Eukaryota; Metazoa; Chordata; Mammalia; Primates; Hominidae. The record is from RNAcentral.
GGCGAGGCGGGCGGGGCGGAGUGAAUGAGCUCUCAGGAGGGAGGAUGGUGCAGGCAGGGGUGAGGAGCGCAGCGGGCGGCGAGCGGGAGGCACUGGCCUCCAGAGCCCGUGGCCAAGGCGGGCCUCGCGGGCGGCGACGGAGCCGGGAUCGGUGCCUCAGCGUUCGGGCUGGAGACGAGGCCAGGUCUCCAGCUGGGGUGGACGUGCCCACCAGCUGCCGAAGGCCAAGACGCCAGGUCCGGUGGACGUGACAAGCAGGACAUGACAUGGUCCGGUGUGACGGCGAGGACAGAGGAGGCGCGUCCGGCCUUCCUGAACACCUUAGGCUGGUGGGGCUGCGGCAAGAAGCGGGUCUGUUUCUUUACUUCCUCCACGGAGUCGGCACACUAUGGCUGCCCUCUGGGCUCCCAGAACCCACAACAUGAAAGGUGAGGGGCUUCCUGCCACACUUGGGCUCAAGCCUGGGCCUUUGAAUCCGGACACAAAACCCUCUAGCUUGGAAAUGAAUAUGCUGCACUUUACAACCACUGCACUACCUGACUCAGGAAUCGGCUCUGGAAGGUGAAGCUAGAGGAACCAGACCUCAUCAGCCCAACAUCAAAGACACCAUCGGAACAGCAGCGCCCGCAGCACCCACCCCGCACCGGCGACUCCAUCUUCAUGGCCACCCCCUGCGGCGGACGGUUGACCACCAGCCACCACAUCAUCCCAGAGCUGAGCUCCUCCAGCGGGAUGACGCCGUCCCCACCACCUCCCUCUUCUUCUUUUUCAUCCUUCUGUCUCUUUGUUUCUGAGCUUUCCUGUCUUUCCUUUUUUCUGAGAGAUUCAAAGCCUCCACGACUCUGUUUCCCCCGUCCCUUCUGAAUUUAAUUUGCACUAAGUCAUUUGCACUGGUUGGAGUUGUGGAGACGGCCUUGAGUCUCAGUACGAGUGUGCGUGAGUGUGAGCCACCUUGGCAAGUGCCUGUGCAGGGCCCGGCCGCCCUCCAUCUGGGCCGGGUGACUGGGCGCCGGCUGUGUGCCCGAGGCCUCACCCUGCCCUCGCCUAGUCUGGAAGCUCCGACCGACAUCACGGAGCAGCCUUCAAGCAUUCCAUUACGCCCCAUCUCGCUCUGUGCCCCUCCCCACCAGGGCUUCAGCAGGAGCCCUGGACUCAUCAUCAAUAAACACUGUUAC